Long non-coding RNA from Empidonax traillii (willow flycatcher), 710 nucleotides. RefSeq lists it as uncharacterized. Lineage: Eukaryota; Metazoa; Chordata; Aves; Passeriformes; Tyrannidae. The record is from RefSeq and is a predicted model, not a curated record. The transcript has 3 exons.
UUUCAGAAUUGCAGGAAUCAGAGAUGGAAGAGACCCAUUAACUGAUCUUUGUGUUCCCUCCAGGGCAGAGCAGGAUUUCUCCCUCAGGGGGUUAUUUUUAGCACUCUGUUGAGCAGAGUUCUCAGUGUCUCUCAUGACAUGGGGGUUUCUUUUCCAGGGAUUUAGAGCGAGCCUUGCCUGGGAAGGAAGGAGGCAACAGAGCCCCAGCUCUCCAGGGACUUUUGUUCUCACAGAGAAGUAGAAAUGUGACAAUUGCUCUGGAAGAAGCUUCACACUGGCAUCCCACGUCCCAGGAGAUGUCAUACACCCUUAGAUGAAUGGCACCUGUCCCCAGGCUCAGCAGGCAGAGAACCUGCCAAAUCUUAAUUUUUCCAGUUUACAAGUAAGAGCCUCUAAACCAUCUGUUUGCUGUCAACUGAUGUUUGUUUGGAGAGGGAUUUUAUUAUUUUUUUCCAUCUCGCACUCCUGUUCUUACAACUAGUUUACUGAACUUCAUAAAUGUCAGCUCUCACAGUCGUUUCGUGAGCCAGUUAUGAUUUAGGAUUUAAUCAAAAUUGAGCAGUCAGUGUCUUUAAUCAAUAGGAAUGGAGAUCAAAAACAAAGGAACGGGGGACUGAGGAAUGAAACAUUUAAUGUAUCCCCACCGCCUUUCAAAGAGCCUGAUUUGCACCGUAAUGGCAACCAGGGAUCGUUAGAACAAACCUUAAAAA